CUCUCUUUUGUGGUAUUUCUGGAUCCUUACCAAGGCAGUAAUGGUGUAUGCCUUCUCUCAAAGUAUGUGGUAUUUUUGGUAUGAGGCAUAGUGGUAUUGCCUUCUCUCUCACCCUACUCUAAUAAGGUUUUGAUAUCUGGAGCUCAUAGGUGGGAGAUAGCUAAUACAUACUUACAAGACACUUAUUGCAUAGUCAAACCAUGGAUCCAGAAGAACAAGUCAAUAAGUCAAAUCAAGAUGUGCAUGUGUGGCGAAUGAAUCGUGAUAAUGGUGAAAAUAAUGGUGAAAGUCUAAUUCUACUUUUGCUCUUUUGAGGGGUACAUACCUUUCUUGCACUUGAGUCUUUUGAGGGGAAUGAGACGCUCUAUAUUUCAUUUUUCUUUUCUCUCAGGUGGGUAUCUUGUACCCCUAAUUCUACUAUCGGACACUUGUCCAUUUUUACCUCUCGUCUCACUUUUUUCGAGGUUUCGGGCACUUGCCUCUUUUUAUUUCCUCGUAUUCACUUUUUUUCAGAGCACUCACCCUCCUGGAAUAAUGUAGCAAGUGGUAGUAACCAAAAUAUCUCGAUCAUUUAUUUCACGGGGAAUAACAGGGAUAGGAUAAUGUUUUUGGCUAUUCUCUCCUAGAUAGGAGUAGAAUAAUUUUGGGUGAAUCUGGAUAUGGAAAUGAGUGGAUGUAUGUGGAUGCGUACUUCUGGAGUAGAAGCAGCAUGUAUGAGUGAACGUGCAAGUGAAUCUUGAUUUUAACCGCAUGACAAUCUCCUAAGGGUCUACACAGCUUGACCACACUCAAUGCUCAUAAGCAGUAAAAAGUAAAUGUAUGGUUUAUAGUCUAAUAAGCUUGUAUAUAUGGCUGUGGUAGAAUUUUAAACUCUUAUCAUAUAGGAACUCAUCAUGCAACAUUUUAAAGAUUUUUAAAGAUAAAAUUCUCUAGAAUUCUAGCAUCUCUAGGAAUAGAUAAACAACAGCUCAACCUUCCCAUAUCAUAUCUGUUAACGACUUAGACUUUUGAUCAGGUACUCUUCCCGCGAAUUCAGGUUUAGAGAAAGCUUUAAAUUAUAACAGUUAUGCCUAAACUUGAAAGAGAGCUCAAAUUUAAAAACUAGGUACUUGGCAGAGCAACUAUUCAUCAUAUCCAUGUAAGAGUUUAUCAUUGAAGUUCAGUUUGGCAUAGACACUUUAUUUAUUUAUUUAGCAAACUAAGCAAAGAUAUAUAUAAGCACAAAAUGUUUAAUUGGGUUUUUAUGAUUAUGCAUUUUUAUUAUUAUUUGAGUAAAGUAUAAAUGUGAGUAGACACACUUAGCUGGAUAAAUGAGGGUGCUCUCCCCCAAGCUGGAUUUUAAUGUAAUUUCUUCUGAUGUAGCUAGCAGGUGGCGUAGCCAUAUUUGAAUGUUGGCAGCACCCUAAUAGCGAUUAGGAUAUCCUCCGUCUGCUAGUCUUCCUUGAUCCUUGAAUUCUGUGGAGCUCAAAUAGACAACAAAGCUUUGUGGAACUGGUUAAGUGUUAGCAUAAAAUCUCUUAGCCUUUAUCAUGUUGAGCUUCCUCUAAUAAAUAUUACUCUCUUUAGUAGGAUAAUAAAUUUAUUUUUAUAUUUUCAUUUUUACAGGACAAGAAUAUAUUUAUUUUAUUUUUACGCCACAACAGUGAAUGGGUUUUAUGCCACGAGCAUACUCACAUGGGGCUUACUGUUUUUAGCAUUUUUAUUUUCUUUUCAAGAUAGCAUGAUUAACUAACAAGCUAUUUAAGGAAAGUAAAUAAUUUAAGAAAAAAAGGAAUGCAGAAGGGAUAAAUAUGAAUAACUACCGAUUUUACCUUUCGGCAAGGGUUCAAUGUUUUAAGUCUUUUGAACAAGUCUUCUCACCGUGUUUAUUCUUUAGGUGCGUCAUUUGAGUUAGGUGUGGACCUUGACAUCUGCACCUCUUGAUACAGUGUCACCCAUGUUUUUCGUUUGCCCAGCAGUUCGAAGUGCGGCGUUGGCAGCAUCCUCCUCAGUGUGUUUGUGCUCGUAGAUCCAGGUCCUUCAAUUGGUAGAGUCUGGGAGUUGGAAAACUCCUCCAUAUUUUGCACGAAUUGUAUCCUGCUCAUAGAGACAUGGCAGAGAUCAAGUGCAUGGGCUCUGUUGGUGGAAAACACUGUUGGGUAUUUUAAACGCAAACAGAAAAAUCCGCAAGUGCACGGAUACCGAUGUAGCCUUCACCCGGGAGUAUUCCAGAGUAUCGAUUUUCCACAGAGAACGUGAGUGUACUAAUUAAGAAUCAAGAUCGCCCAAGGAUAACUAUAUAAUUAUUUUUGGUGGGAAGAGAGGAAGUUUCCUGAGAGUUCUCUAGUUGAUCUAAGAAUCAAGAAUUACUUCAAGAUUAUCUAUAUCGGGACAUCAGAGCACUAACCACAAAAAGAGAUGAGAAGGGCGCUAGGAAGGUCUGACUACGGUCCUACAAACACCGAUCCGAACGUGGUGGAAUAUGUCGACCGUUAGGGCUGUCACUACCCUAAGGCUACCACAACAAUCCGCAGGAUUAGGUGCAAUUCCAGGUAAUUGCAAGACUAAACACCACGUCUAAUCUAUUAAUUACUACUCUAGCGUUAUAAAGACUAGAGCACUUGAUGCAAGUGGGAAUCCAAUAAAUAACUUGAAUGUAAAUAAAAGUAAUUAAAGAACUCAGGAAUUAUGAAUUAAAGAACUUGGAGAGCGAUGAAGAACGAACCAGAUGCUGCAAAAGUAUAAUGUUGAGGAAGAUCCGACAGAUCCGGCUCCUCCUCCGCUCUCCUCUUCUCUCUCCCUAUUUUCUAGAUUACAACUAGAACUAACUAGAACUAGAACUAGAGGAACUAGAACUAGAACUAGAUGAACUAGAACUAGAUCUAGAUGAACUAGAGGUAGAACUAGAAGAACUAGAGGGAUCCUCUCUACUUGGAUAAAGAAUUGAAACCCUAGCUUUGAUUCUGUAGAAGAGGUAUGAUCUCCAGGGGCCAGGGGGUCUGGUUUUAUAGUCCCUUCAAGUGAAUCUAGGCCGUUGGAUCAAACCGACAUUGAUUGAACGGUUAUCCUUGAUCCUUUAGGUCGGUGGAGCAAUAUCCCGAAAGAGAGUCCUGAUUGGACUCUAUGUGACGGCGGGCGCCCAGGAGAGUAGGGCGGGCGCCCUGUCCCUGAGUCCUCUCAGCUUCCGCUUUGUUCUCGUGGCUUCUGCAGUCUUCUAGAUGAUAGAAAAUUGCGCGGCACGUUAAUAUCUCUAUGUAAACCUGACGUGUGGGCCUUUCUUCCGUAUUUCCUGAUAACCCUCUGCAGAAAUAGACAAACACCAAAACUCGUGGAAUUCUGUCAGAUAAAACCCUAAGUCUGGGUGUUGGUUGCAUAUAAAUCCUUUUCCAUGAUUAGUUGAUGGUUAAAUAUGAGCAUUAAGGACCGUCAACAAGCUCCCCCAAGCAUAACCUUUGCUCGUCCUUGAGUAAAGAUGAACUUAAGAGUUUCAGCAGUGGUUUCAUGCCUUAAAGAUACACAUGCGUUCAAACAAUAUCUCAUCUCUAGGUUAGGGUAAACUGUUAAGAUUUAAACUUACUCAUUUUACCUUCCACCAUGGGGCUUGUAACCGUCACUUGUGUCUUGAGCAGUUAAAAGAUAGAACGGUCUAGUCAAGCACCAUGUCUCUUGUUCUUCGAUUAACUAUAGCUCUGGAGUUUUUGCAGAUUUUCAAAUAAAACUCAGAGAUUCCUUGUAUGACUCUCUCUAGUCUCUCUUUUGUGGUAUUUCUGGAUCCCUACCAAGGCAGUAAUGGUAUAUGCCUUCUAUCAAAGUAUGUGGUAUUUGUGGUAUAAGGCAUAGUGACAUUGCCUUCUCUCUCACCCUACUCUAAUAAGGUUUUGAUAUCUGGAGCUCAUAGGUGGGAGACAGCUAAUACAUACUUACAAGACAUUUAUUGCAUAGUCAAACCAUGGAUCCAGAGAACAAGUCAAUAAGUCAAAUCAAGAUGUGCAUGUGUGGCGAAUGAAUGGUGAUGAUGGUGAUAACAAUGGUGAAAGUCUAAUUCUACUUGUGCUCUUUUAAGGGGAUACAUACCUUUCUUGCUCUUUUGAAACUUUUUUAGGAGAAUGAGAUGCUCUAUCUUUUAUUUUUCUUUUCUCUCAGGUGGGUAUCUUGUACCCCUAAUUCUACUGUCGGACACUUGUCCAUUUUUACCUCUCGUCUCACUUUUUUCUUUUCUUUCGAGGUUCCGGGCACUUGCCCCUUUUUAUUUCCUCGUAUUUUUUUCUCUCUUUUUUAGAGCACUCAUCUCCUGAAAUAAUAUAGCAAGUGGUAGUAACCAAGAUAACUUGAGCAUUUAUUUCAUAGGGGAAAAAUAGAAAUGUUUUUGGCUAUUCUCUCCCGGAUUAGGAGUAGAAUAUUUUUAGGUGAUUCUGGAGAUGAAAAUGAGUGGAUAUAUAUGGAUGCGUACUUCCAGAGUAGAAGCAGCAUGUGUGAGUGAACGUGCAAGUGAAUCUUGAUUUAACCACAUGACAAGCUCCUAAGGGUCUACAUAGCUUGACCACACUCAAUGCUCAUAAGCAGUAAAAAAAUAAAUGUGUGGCUUUUUAAAGAUUUUCAAAGAUAAAAUUCUCCAGAAUUCUAGCAUCUCUAGGAACAGAUAAACAGUAGCUCAACCUUCCCAUAUCGUAUCCGUUAAUGACUUAGACUUUAGAUCAAGUACUCUUCCCACAAGUUCAGGUUUAGAACAAAUCUUAAUUAAUAACAGUCAUGCCUAAACUUGAGAGAGAUUUCAAUUUUGAGAACUAGUCAUUGCAGAGCAACUAUUCAUCAUUUCCAUGUGAGAGCUUAUCAUGAGGGUUCAUAGCGAUCUUUAUUUAUUUAUUUAUUUAGCAAACUAAGCAAAGAUAUAUAUAAGCACAAAAUUUUUAUUUGGGUUUUCAUGAUUAUGCAUCUUUUUAUUAUUUGAGUAAAGUAUAAAUGCGAGUAGAAACACUUAGCUGGAUAAAUAGGGGUGCUCUCCCCCAAGCUGGAUUUUGAUGUAAUUUCUUCUGAUGUAGCUAACAGGUAGCAGAGGUGUAUUUGAAUGUCGGCAGCACCCUGACAGCGAGUAGGAUGUCCUCCGUCUGCUAGUCUUCUUUGAUCCUUGAAUUCUGUGGAGCUCAAAUAGACAACAAAGCUUUGUGGAACUAGUUAAGUGUUAGCAUAAAUAUUUAGCCUUUAUCAUGUUGAGCCUCCUCAAUAAAUGUUACACUCUUUAGUAGGAUCAUAAAUUUAUUUUCAUAAUUUUAUUUUUAUAGGAUAGGAAUAUAUUUAUUUUAUUUUUAUGCCACCGCAGUGAAUGUACUUAUGGGUUUUAUGCCAUGUGCAUACUCACAUGGGGCUUACUAUUUUUUAACAUUUUUAUUUUCUUUUCAAGAUAGUAUGAAUAUGAUUAACUAAGCAAACUGUUUUAAAAUAAUUGAAAGGAAAAGGAUAACUACCAAGUUUACCUUUUGGCAAGGCGUUCGGUGUUUUUAAGUCCUCCGAACAGGACUCUCCGUUUUCUCAAUUGUCCUGGGAUUCGCUGGAUGGCGUAGUCGGUGGUUCCGGCAGCGCUUCCUCUUCAUGUAUAACUAUCUUCUCUUUCCACACGUGACUCGGUGCUAUGGUCUCCUCAGGACAGUUCUGUUCAAGCUGUAUGUCUUCAAAGCUGUAUGUCUUCAGACAUUACUACUUCUCCUUCGUAGUCUACCCAUCCGUCCUUGAUGAUUUGACUUCUCUGGUUGCGGUUGCGUCGUCUUCUUCUUGUCCUGACCUGCUUAGAAUCUUCAACUAUAUAGUUAAGGUCAGUAAAAUAGCGGCGUACCUUCUCAGAGAGGAAGUGCAUGUGGACUUCUCCGGUUCUAAUGUAGAUGAUUACUUUAACGGUGCUGAGGAACAGUCUCCCAAGGAUGAUGGGUGGAUCAUACUCGUCUUCUCCCAUGUCAAUAACCUUAAAAUCAUCUGGAGCUGAAUGUAUGUCGGUUUUAGGGGCAUGGUUCCGAACAGGAGCUAAUAGGUGACUGCGGCCAUUAUGUUGACGCCUGACCCAGUGUCGCAAAGCGUCUUCUAGAAGUUGUAUCCAUUAAUGGAGCACUGGAUGCUUGGCACACCUGGGUCGUCCUUUUUGGUCAGGAACGGUGACUUAAAUUGACGAUCUUGACCUCCUUGAACUGCAGUGAUCAUCUUAGCUGUCUCGGUCCACACUUGCU
RNAcentral lists this long non-coding RNA (6191 nucleotides) under Sorghum bicolor (sorghum). RNAcentral describes it as "long non-coding RNA (SBIC_LNC017849)". Lineage: Eukaryota; Viridiplantae; Streptophyta; Magnoliopsida; Poales; Poaceae. The record is from RNAcentral.